Molecule: long non-coding RNA, 245 nt
Filed under: Helianthus annuus (common sunflower)
Lineage: Eukaryota; Viridiplantae; Streptophyta; Magnoliopsida; Asterales; Asteraceae
Description: sRNA HanXRQr2_Chr05g0216761
Source: RNAcentral
CCAUACCAUUCUCAUUACAUGGUAUUAGAGCUAAAGGUUACUUAGCUCACGAGUGUUUUUUGGGUGACCAUUUCCGGCCACCACCAGUUCGGUAUUACCUUCCUGCUCCUAAAACUCGUUCCAGAUCUACUCAAACAACACAUCACUUUUGCCCACUCAAGACGAUCAUCUCACGUUUGUGGAAACCACUUGCAAACAUUUACACUAGUACAACAUGUUAGUUGAUAGAUGACGAUGUGAAGAAA